GGGGGUGCACUGGUUUCGACGGGAUUCAGUGACGCUCUGGUAAGCACGUCCAGGGGCCGAGGCCUGGUAAAAAACGGCAAAAAAUUAACUGCAGAGAACAAAGCUGACUUUGCAUAUGCAAUGGCCGCCUAAUUAGCCGGCCGUUCGGUUUUAGGGGGCGCGCCCGCGGCCUUCUAAGACUCCAAUAGUGUGGGCUAGCUUGGAUGCUUGUCUCAGGUGUUCAAGUGAAUCGCUUUCGAGACUGGCUGAGUUUGAUCGCGCCUCCUAGAGCGGAUUCAGCGAGAUUAAAGUGGAGGCUAAACGUGUAGAAAGCUAGGGCUGAGGUUUCUCGGACGCGGGUUCGAUUCCCGCCACCUCCACCA
Molecule: transfer-messenger RNA, 362 nt
Filed under: Pseudomonadota bacterium
Lineage: Bacteria; Pseudomonadati; Pseudomonadota
Description: Proteobacteria bacterium transfer-messenger RNA
Rfam family: transfer-messenger RNA
About the family: Bacterial tmRNA, also known as 10Sa RNA or SsrA, is named for its dual tRNA and mRNA-like properties. Its role is to liberate the mRNA from a stalled ribosome.
Source: RNAcentral